AUCAUAUACAGUGAUAUAUGACUGAGAAGUGGGCAAGCACUGAAAUAAACAUCUAAUAGGCUUCUAGUAUGUU
Non-coding RNA from Pangasianodon gigas (Mekong giant catfish), 73 nucleotides. The record is from the annotation of a GenBank genome assembly. NCBI's taxonomy places the organism in Eukaryota, Metazoa, Chordata, Actinopteri, Siluriformes, Pangasiidae.